GGAAUCCUUAAAGGCGCAUCCCGAGAGCAAGACCUGGCUGAAUUUCUCUGCACACAUGAACGUUUUUUUAGGGGUGGGUUUAAUCUGACACAAGAUAAUUUAGCGCAAAACGCCUUCAGAGGUGAAUUAGACGAGCAGUCCAGUCCUCCAGUCUGCUCUCCAUCUCCAGCAGUGACAGUCCUGAGUGGGCCGUAUGUGAAUGCGUUCAUUAAUGCAGCCAUGGCUCCUGUCAGGGUAGAAAUGUGUCCAGAUGGAGGGACCCCACUGUGCAGGCCUGGCCAGCACUCGAGGGGUGAGGAGAGCUGAUGUGUGGGGUGGGGAUCCGGUCUAACUGGACUCUUUCUCAGCAUGCGGGUUGCCGAGUUUUGGCACGCCACCGUCCCUCGGCUCAGGUUACAGGUUCGCCUCACUUGGUAGAAGCUUGCCAAAUUAAGCAGGAGUCAACAUGGACAGUUUGCAAGGUGUGACUUCAUCCUUGGAAACCAUGAACAAAACUAUGCAAGGUGUUGAUCUCACGGCAGGCCCUGACAGGAAGUUUCCGCAGCUCUCCACCAAACCCAUUGGAGUGCACAUCAGCCUGACGGAUGGAUGAAUGACACCAAUGAAAAAGGAGCGCUAUCCUCCGGGCAACCCGCUCAGGAUGAGUGACAGGGUGCAGGCGGGAGAAUAGACUGUCUUUGAACCUGAAAAAACUCUUUUUCCUCCCUCUCUCAAAUCUUUUCUCCCCCUUUUCUCUUCUUCAAGGUGCAGAUUCCCCCCCAAACUCUGGCCGAUCCACUCUUUUCUCUAUGCUGGCGUUUUGUUUCGGCUGGCUAAGGGUGUGUGUGUGUGUGGUGGGCAGUGCAGGGUGUGAGGCGUGUUAAAUGCUCUCCUUUCAGAGGCAGAAUGUGUCAGUCAGCUCACAGGCCCUGUUUUGUUUGGAGCUGUCAACCCUUCUGGAAGAGGGAGAGGAAAAACCGGGGGAGUGAAGGAGAGAGAGAAAUCAGAGGGCAAGCGGAGAGGGACGUGUGGGUGUAGGGAGAGAGACAGCUGGGAGGCCUACAGGAGAGCCUGACCUCACCUCAAGAGCAAAGGGUCACUGGCAGGCCACUCACAACUAUUCCACAAAGCUGAAAUGAGUUAUUGAAUACUCAGCCCAUGGCAGAGUAACUCAUAUAGCAUUCAACUACAAGAGCAAAUUAUAUGGGAAGUAUAGUGACUAUAACAUAAAGGUGUUUAGAGUAAUGUUAUGUAAAAAGAAGAUAAUUCUGUCACGAAUUCUGUUACCUUCAUGUUGUUCCAAAGCUGUAGGACUUUGUUGACACAUAUCUUUUACAUGCACUCUAAAAAAUAACUAAAAAAACUAAACAAAUUUACAUAGUAAAUAGCAUUUUCCACUGAAACAGUAAUAUACCGUAAAAACAAUUAAUUCUGGGUAAUAUUAUUUGUCGUUUUUGAGAAAGUAGCCUAUAGGCCUCUUUUCUUAAAAUGAAAAAAAUACCCAGAAUGGAUUAUUUUUAUAGUAUAUUGCUGUUUCAAUGGAAAAGGGUAUUUUACUGUGUAAAUUUGUUUUGUUGUUUUACAGUUAUUUGUUUUUACAGUGACAGUACAAUGAAAGUGAAUGAUGACCAAGAUUUGUCAAGCUCAAAAUAUAAAGAAAAGCAUUAUAAAAGUAAUCCGUCUGACUUUCCAAGUCUUCUAAAUAGCUUUGCAUGAGGAAAAUAACAAAAUUUAAGUUGAUAUUACUCACAUAAUUACAUACAAUGCCAGGUUACAUGUCAUAAUUUGAAAAUACAUGAUUCCUCUUGUGUGUCUUGUAACAAAUCAUGAUGUCUUUAGAGGACAUAUAGAGGAAUAUAGCACACAAAUCAUCUGGACCACUUUCAUAACUGUCCGAUGCUUCAUUUUUUUGUGACAGACCCAAACUGUAACGUCUCAUUUUGUGGUUUACGGAAGGAAAAAAAAAAAUCAUAAAAUUAUAAAUGAUUCCUUGGUAAACAGCAGAAACUUUCUUUAAUAAUAAUAUAUAUAUAUAUAUAUAUAUACACUCUCACUUCAAGCACUGGGAUGUUUAACAAAGAAAUAUAUAUAUAUAUAUAAUAUAGUGCUUUAAGUUUCAUUUUUGUGCCAUUAGCAUCGCCAAUAGAAUUGCAAAGAUCAUGUUAUCUGGAUACUCACAGUCACCUCAUCUGCCAUUGGUUGGCCAAUCCGAUAGUCCUGACCCCAAACUCACGCCAUUGGUUGAGCUGAUGUUGGCUGGUGGUGCUCAAACAAAAAAAAAAGAAAAUGUUUUGAUUGCAAAAUAGAUCCACAGUGUUUAAAUUUUGGGGGUAAGCAACCUAUGAAUGUUUUACCAUUGUCUGUAACCUGGGAAAGGAGAAAGUAUUUUAAUUUUUAAAAAAUGUUACUUCACCUUUAAGUAAAAAUCAUGUUAACAUUUACUUGUAAACUCCCAUACGCAGUUCUCAUGCCUUUGUUGGACUCAUUAGUGAUUUAGCGAAACGCCACAUUCUCAUCAGAUUGUUUGUUUUGUCAUGACUUUCUUUUGUGCCGGGACCUCCUCCACUCUGGUUGGAGAGCUUCCUAUAAAGCCUGCCAAUCACAGUCAGGAGAAUGAAGGAUCACUGACAGAUAAGAGGCACAGGGUGGAAGGUGAGGGUCAGGCUAGUAACAGAGGACAGAAUGACAGAAAGAGAGACAGAGAAGAGAGAAGCAAGACUAUCAAAAACUAAAUUCCUCCAGAUUUCGCCAGUCCAUUUCUUAUUUUUCAUCACCAUGUCCAUGGUGGUUUUAAACUGAGGGUCUGGGGAGAGGGUCUGCUGACAGACCUUCUCUCACUGGAAGAGGGACAGACUGGUAUGCAUCUGCUCUGGCUCCGUGCCCCACUGAGUGUCAGCGUGCAGAUGGAAGUGGUUAUUUGUAAUAAUAAACCCUGGGAAUGGGAGAGAUGUGUGCCCUCACAGCCUGAGACAUGCGUGACUCUGAAGCUCAAACACCACUGAGGACAACACAGCCCGACCAGAACCAACUUGCUACCAACUUUGAAUACUCUUUUUAUGGUUCUAUUUAGAAUGAGGCUUUGAAUAUUCUGGAAUUUUUGUAAAUAGGCAUUUAUUUUUUUAUUUUGCCUCCACUUUGUUACAUUCUCAAUAGAGUUCAAUGACUAUUUUUUUUUGUCCGGAUUUAUACAUUUAUUCAAAAAUACAUUAAAAAUGCAAUUCAUACAUACAAAGAUUUGAAGACAUCUUCAAGGAAGAGAAUUGUUUAUUUACAGAAUUAAAGUUCAUAUUGAAUUUUUUUUAUAUAUUUUAGGUGGCAUAAAGUCAAAAAUUUCUGGGAAAUACAACUGUCCUGAUGACUUAAGGAAGAAAAUAUAAUAUAAAUAAUAUAAAACCUUAUGAAGUUUUCUUUGAAAAAAAUAUAUUUAACAAAACUGCUUAUUAAAAACUUUUGACCACCAAUUCAAGAUCAUGUAUUGUGGCUAAUAUUAAAAACAAACAAAAAAAUUCAUUACACACUUCAAAUGAUCUCAUAGGAAAUUAUAUUCAGUUCAUCCAUACUGUGUUUUAAGGCCAAUAAGUAUCUUAAAAUAUUAAUAAUUUGACCUUUUUAUGAAAUUGCAAAGUUAAUUCAUCUUGUAAAAUGUCAUGUAGUGCGAAUCCCCCAAAAAUCUAAUGAUAUUUAUGAAUUAAAGUCUUAAACAAUUAAAAUGAUGUUUUGCUUGAAAAUUAUAAUAAAUAUAAUAAGACUCCAAUGAAUUCAAGGCGUAAGGAAAAUAUGUUGUUACAUUUUAUGUGAUGGUCACACCACAUAACACUUUUAGUCUGUCUUUUCUUCAUAAUUAUCUAAAAGUUUUUCAAAACCAUAUAAAACCAAAAUGAAUACAAAGACUAUAUUUCUAAGCUCUUGACACACAGUUUGUCACUGACCACAGAUUUCUAUUCUUUUUUUAUACUUAGGGUUAGUGGACUUGCAGCCUUUGAAUUCAUAUGCCACAAAUAUUAUGACAUAAAUAUUUUGUUGGUUCUGUCAGAUGAUUUUGAGCUGAAAGGCGGAAGCUCAGCAAAUGAUUCUCAAGCUUUUUCCUGCCAAUCACAUUGAAGUUCACUAUAAGGUCUCUUUAAUUAACUGUAAUUUCAGAGUCUUUAAACUGUCACUGCGACAUUUUGGAUAAAAAACAUUGCCUGCUCCAAACAGAAUUUAUUACUGUACACAACCCAGAGGCCAGAGGCAAUAUUUUGCAUGAAAUGAUUCAAGUAUUUCUUCACUUGCCGGGAAUAAUUUACGUCAAGAAGCUCACGGCGGGACCGCACUCGGGGACAGGACCUGAGUGAGUUCUUUUAUGAGCUCAACGUCCACAACAUGUCAACCUUUUCCCUCCACAAAUAAAUAUUGUGCAAACGUCAGAAAAACUCGAUAUUUACGCUCAGCGCAUGAAAAACACACAAACAUUAUUUUUCAAAGACUGCGUGCUUAAACUCUCAUUGCCCUCACAGUGAAAACAAGGCAGGAUGGGGGAUGGUGAAGCACAUGCUGUAAGUUUUAACAUCACAUUUCUAGACAAAACUCCAGCAAGCACAUUAUAUGUCAUCAUAAGCUGCUUCCUUUGUGUGAAUGCUAAAUCACGUCCCUUAUUAAGCAACUCAAUCUUUCAUUUGCCUUUGUGUUGAUGUCACUAUCACUUUAUCCCCUUUCACAGAAUUCUGCUUAAUUAACUUCUGUCCUGUCUGCCUUGUUGAUUGGCUACUUAAGGACUCAAAGACUUCACACUCUUGUCAAUAUCUCGUGCAUCAGAGCUCUGAUUGGCUCUUCUUUUGUUAACGAGCUGGUCGGUGCGCUGACAGCCAUGACAGCGAUGUGGCAUGAUGUCUUUGUAUGGUGAGAGAGGAGUGCGGUCCAGCCAGCUCACGCUGUCACUCCGCAGCUGCUGGCUGUCUCCGGGUGGAUCGCUUCGUGCCCCAGCCCCUCGAACACUGUCUGUUGACCUUCCAGGCUCGGGGCUCUGUUUCUCUCUCACAGCUGUGCGCUUUGAACCCGAAAUCGGUGUGUUAGAAGCAAUCAGGGCCAAGCUCUGUUUUCAGUUCUUUCACCCUCAGGCCUCACAAGCUGUUCUGUGUGAUCAGGCUUUUUGGGCAAUGAGAUUGGAUAUGCUGGUCAAGAAUUAGAGAAACAGUCAUUAUACAGGCAGCUUGUGGUUUGGCUCCAAACAGAAAGCCUUCACGGGCUGUUCUUCUCUCUCCGGCAAUCGUUACUGUGUCUUUAAAGAUGAGAAAUGUCCAUGUUCAGUGUUAGCUUCAAAUGUCUUCCUAUAUAUGUGAAAUGUAUAUGCUUAUAACUGGGUUGCGCUCUUUUUGUUUGAUUUAUAAUCAUGCAGUGCUGUCAAAGGGUUUCAUGUUCUCAUGGAGCUCUAUUUAAUUUAAAACAAAGAACUGAUCUGAUGCUGGUGAACUGCUUUGGCAGUCGUGUAACAAACUGUAAAAUGUAGAUUAAGCUUUAGUUGAUGUGUUUUGGAACAUUGUGGAAAGUUUCUAACUGGUCCAAGCUGGUCAAGUUGGUAUGGACCAGAAACAAACCAACUACCCGUUUGGUCUUAGCAGUGGUUUAGCUGGCUGGUUAUUAGCUAGUCUAAACCAGUGGUUCUCAACCCCACUCCAGUUAUUUGCUGGUCUAAGAUGGUCAUUAGCUGGUCGAACUGGAUAUUAACUAGUCCAGGCUGGUUAUAGCUGGUCCAGGAUGGCCAUUAGCUUGUCAAACUGGAUAUUAACUAGUCCAGGCAGGUUAUAGCUGGUCCAAGAUGGCCAUUGGCUGGUCCAAAUGAGUUAUUAGCUGGUCCAAGCUGGGCAUUAACUGGUCUAAACCGAUCAUUAGGUGGUCCAAGCUAAUUAUUAGCUGGUCCAAGCUGGGCAUUAACUGGUCUAAACCGAUCAUUAGGUGGUCCAAGCUAAUUAUUAGCUGGUCCAAGCUGGGCAUUAACUGGUCUAAACCGAUCAUUAGGUGGUCCAAGCUAGUUAUUAGCUGGUCCAAGCUGAGCAUUAACUGGUCUAAACCGAUCAUUAGGUGGUCCAAGCUAGUUAUUAGCUGGUCCAAGCUGGGCAUUAACUGGUCUAAACCGAUCAUUAGGUGGUCCAAGCUAGUUAUUAGCUGGUCCAAGCUGGGCAUUAACUGGUCUAAACCGAUCAUUAGGUGGUCCAAGCUAGUUACUAGCUGGUCCAAGCAUUAGUUGGACUAAACUUGGGUGUGUUUCCCAAAAGUAUCGUUAGCUAUCUAUGGAAAGCAAAUUCCAUUGAACUCCAUUGGUAAUGACGGAACUUGCGGCCAUAGUUGGCUUUGGGAAACGCACCCCUGGUCAGUAGGUCAUUAGCUGGCUGUACUCUUUUUGCUGUAAUAUAUUCAGCUCUAUUUAAUUUAAAGCAAAGAAUUGAUAUUAUGGUGAAUUGCUUUCACAGCCAUGCAACAUACUGUACAAUGUAGAUUAAGCUAGCUUAUGUGUUUUGGAACAUGAUGGCAAGUUUCUAGCUGGUCCAAGCUGUUCAUUAGCUGAUCCAAGCUGGUAGACCAUUGUGGACCAGCAAUAAGUUAGAGCAACUACCUUAAAGUGGACAAGCUAAUAUAAAAAAAUCAAAAAUAAAAGCUGGUCAUUAGCUGGUAUAAUCUGGUUGUUAUCUGGCCAAAAAUGGUCAUUUGCUAGUUUAAACAGAUCAUUAAUUGGUACAAGCAGAUCAUUAAAGGAUUAUGCUUUUUUACAUUUUCAGCUUUCUUUAGUGUGUAAUGUUGCUGCUGCAUGAAGAAGAUAUGUAAAGUUACAAGCAGAAAGUCCACUCUAAAGGGAGUUAUUCUCUAUAUCAGUAGGCACUUUUUCUCCCUGAACUCCAUGAAAAGCUUCGAUUGUAGGUUUUUUCUUGGAACAUACACAAUCACAAUAUUCCUUAUUUAAAUAUUUCUCCCCAAGGCAUAUGCAAAAUAAAAGGCAGAGGCCUUAACUCACUAACUUACCAUAACUCGCGGUUAUGGUAAGGGCGGUGAGAUUUCCGAAAUGUGCUCGAAGCAGUUGGCCAAUUACAACACACUGGUCCAGCCGACCAAUCAGAGCACAUUGUGCUUUUCAGAAGGAGGGACUUCAUAGAGAACUAAACAGAUUUUUUACUGACAGACUGGGAAGAGAGGUCACUUUUAAGCAUGAAAAUCUAUUCUAGUAGACCCCAAAAACAAAGUCAGGAUUUUGAAAAAGGCCAUAAUGGGUCCCUUUUAACUGGCCUAAGGUGGUUAUUAGCUGGUACAAGCUGCUCAUUAUAUAGUCUAAAUUGAUCAUUAGGUGGUCCAAGAUGAUCAUUAGCUGGUUAUGCACUCAUCUAAACUGGUCAUUAGCUUCUCUAAGCUGGUUAUUAGCUGAUCUAAGCUGGUCGUUAGUUGCUCUAAGUUGGUUAUUAUAGCUGAUCUAAACCGGUUGUUAACUGCUCCAAGCUGGUUAUUAUAGCCGAUCUAAACCGGUUGUUAACUGCUCCAAGCUGGUUAUUAUAGCCGAUCUAAACCGGUUGUUAACUGCUCCAAGCUGGUUAUUAUAGCCGAUCUAAACCGGUUGUUAACUGCUCCAAGCUUGUUAUUAUAGCCGAUCUAAACCGGUUGUUAACUGCUCCAAGCUGGUUAUUAUAGCCGAUCUAAACCGGUUGUUAACUGCUCCAAGCUGGUUAUUAUAGCCGAUCUAAACCGGUUGUUAACUGCUCCAAGCUGGUUAUUAUAGCCGAUCUAAACCGGUUGUUAACUGCUCCAAGCUGGUUAUUAUAGCCGAUCUAAACCGGUUGUUAACUGCUCCAAGCUGGUUAUUUUAGCCGAUCUAAACCGGUUGUUAACUGCUCCAAGCUGGUUAUUAUAGCCGAUCUAAACCGGUUGUUAACUGCUCCAAGCUGGUUAUUAGCUGAUCUAAACUGGUCGUUAGUUGCUCUAAGUUGGUUAUUAUAGCUGAUCUAAACCGGUUGUUAACUGCUCCAAGCUGGUUAUUAGCUGAUCUAAACUGGUCAUUAGUUGCUCUAAGUUGGUUAUUAUAGCUGAUCUAAACCGGUUGUUAACUGCUCCAAGCUUGUUAUUAUAGCUGAUCUAAACCGGUUGUUAGCUGCUCCAAGCUUGUUAUUAUAGCUGAUCUAAACCGGUUGUUAGCUGCUCCAAGCUGGUUAUUAGCUGAUCUAAAUUGGUCAUAAGCUGCUUAUUAGCUGGUUUAAGUUGGUCACUGGCUGGUUCAAACUGGUUAAUAAUGCUUCAAGCUGGUCACUAGCUGUCACUGAAUGUCAUUAACUGGUCUAAACUGGACAAUAGCUGGUCCAGACAUUAGUUGGUCCAAGUUGGUCAUUUGCUAGUUUGCUUUUUCAAAAACUAGCUUGACUACCUUAAAAUGGCAUUACCAGCCUUUUUUUUUGUUGUUGCCGGUCCACAACGGUCUACCUACCAGCUAAUGACCAGCGUGGAUCAGCAAGAAACCAGGGUAACACUUUAUUUCGAUGGUCCACUUUAGACAUUCUACUAACAUUACAAUUAUACUUGCAACUACAUGUCUACUACCAGUCUUUAAAGAAUUAGCAGAAUGUCUGCUUGAUAUUGUCUAACGCUUUAUAUUGAUGGUCCACCAACAGACAUUCUACUGACUAUAAGUAACUUUUUAACUAUUUUUUAACAUGUCAACUUAUUACUAACCUGAACUCUAACACCUAUCCAUAACUUUGUAGUCUACUAACAGUCUACUACAGUCUACUAAUACUCUAAAGAGAGCUAGUUGACAUGUAGUUGCAAAGUUACUUAUAGUUAGUAGAAUGUCUAAAGUGGACCAUCGAAAUAAAGUGUAUCAACUGGUAUCAAGGUAUCAACUGUGAACACUGCAGCUAUUUUGUACUCUAUCUGCUUCCAGUCUUGCUAUGGCAAUCCACCACUUUACCAUUUAUUUAAAAUAAAUAAUGAAUUGGGGAAAUUAAAAUAUUUUUUCUAAAGAUUCUCUAUAGAAUGCAUGUCAAAUUUGGGCUCUGCUAAAACUAAAACAAGCGUUUGUCUGGCACUCAUUUGUCUUAAGCACAUGACAAAACCACAGCGCCAUGUUUUUCCUCUGACAGUCCCUCCUCUGACUCGCUAAUUGAACAAGACAGCCGUCGGCUGCAGGCCAUUCCUUCUCUCAUGCGUUUUGAGAAAACUUUCCGUCCUCAUGACUGCUUCCAGCAAUAUGGCAGGACUCCAGUCAUCACAUUGUCAAUGGAUAGUCUUACUUCUGCUCUUUCUGGAGCCUGUAAACAAACAAGCCAACAAUAAUAAGAGUUCAACAGUCCAUAGAACAUCUGUAAAAUCCCAUCAAAGAUUAAACUAAUCAGGAGUAAAACUGUUUCAAGUAGAUUUAUGGAACAAAACAACACUGGAUAUGUAAUCAAGAUGUGGAAAUCACAUUCUGGAAUGAAGUUACUAGUGCACAGCUUCCACUUUUUGCACUACACUUUAAGGCAGAAAAAUUGAGCUUUUUUUUUUAACAGUGUGUCUGAUUUGUUUACUCAUAAAUACAUCAAGCAAUCAGUGUGAAUGACACAUUAACACUGAACAGUAGAGCCAAAACUGUUAUAUGUUCCACUUGUCAGCCCCUGCUUGAACACAGCGUCUCGAGAAACAGCCAGAUAUUUUCUUGGCUGAACAAUAUUUGCAAUUCAGAGAAAAUGACCUUACUCUGAGAUGGAAAGGUUGCUGGGGAUGAAAAUUUGUCUCCAUGUUAAGAUUGCCACUGAGUUCUCAAAGCCACAGCCUUUGGUCUGCCCGACCAGCUGUCUGGAACUGACAAAACCAGAAAUGGAUUUACAUUGUCCAUACUCCAGACUGUCUUUCUCAAUUUGGGGGCCAUCAAGAGGCAAUCUGGAAACUGUUAGUCAGUGAGUCCUUGCAGUAAUUGCUUGCAGCUGAGAAUUCAGUCCUGUGUGAGUGAAGUAAGGGGGGUGGGGAGAGGGAAACCUGAGAUAUAACAAGUGCAAUUGAUCCUUUUCUGAAUUCCCUCUGCGAGGAGCCACAUUUGGGCUCCACACAGUUCAGGAAACAGACUUUCUGGAAAGGAAAUGAAUCAGUCGCAUACAGACAGUCUUCUGUUUUUGUUCAAACACACAAAUAUGUAUUGAACACAAAAAAGAUAUCAAAUAUAAAAGGAUUUAGGAUGCCUUAUAAUAUAUACACAGUAAAUACCCAGCAGACUACACUGUGUUCUAAAACACUCACACAAACACACACGCUCAGAUGGUCCUGGUUAACGCUGAGACUUGGGGGCUCCUACACUUUGUUUCCCCCGUGUGUUCUAGUAAACAGCAUGACAGUAUGUUUGAUUAAGGCUGCACGCUGGAGAGUGCAGGUUUUGAGGACACAGUAGGGGUCUGGGCUCUCUCAGGGGCCUCUGUGUGUUUACUCUGAUUGUUUAAGGUCAGAGAGAGAGAGGGAGCAGAGAAACAUCUAGAGAGCUCAGGCAUCCCCGGUCCCUUGACCACAGCCAGCAGAAUGCAUUGUCCUGAAGGAAUGAUGAUGGAAAUAUCUCUGGUAUCUUGCAAGGAUUUUUUUUUUUCUUUCCAAAAAAAAAAAAGUACUCUUAAAAAAAAAAAAUAAAAAAAAAAUAUACAGUAAAAAACAAAUGGUGUGUUUGCCAGAAAUUCACCAUCAUAAUUUCAUAAACUGUCAUCAAAUUACAAUAAUAACAUCUCAGCCUACUUAGAUUUGCUUUGUACUUAAAAAUACACUGAUGAUCAGCAUAUAUGGAGGUGGUAAAAUAGAAGGCUACACAAUGACUAAAGGCCUUUACAAUGACUAAUCAGUUACUGACAAAAACAUAAAGACCAUCAAAGUAAAUAAUGUAACAUAAUAUACUCUAAUGUUAAUAACAGAUGACAAAAAUAAGAUUAAAAAAUUUACAUAGGAUAAAUAAAAAUGUCAUUUUAAUACAAAGUUCUGUCAUGAAACUCUAGAUGGCGCAGGCUAAUAGGUCCUUUAACUCAACCUGCUCUUAAUUAAGUCGUUAUCUAUAGGGCACAGCUGAUUGGUUCCUGCUGUAUCAGUAGCCAAUGACCUUCAAAAUACUUUGGUAGCAUUGCCUUAGCAGUGCAAUGCGCUUCAGAAACCCUCCACCUUCCCCAGCUCCACCUGUAUAGAUCUGCUACGGGUAAUUUAUGUACGCUAUAUUGUACAGCAGCAGCAUGUCGUACUUGCUCACGGCAGCCUGUUGUGUAUGUAUUGGCAAUAGCGAGUACCGUACAAGUCCCGUAAGUCAAAGUAACAUCCACAUAGAUGGCAGGACCCAAGGUUUCCCAGCAGAACAUUGCCCAAAACAGUGGACAGGGGUCAGCAUGGGCACCCUGACUGGUCGGUGUCUAUGCAGCCCCAUACGCAACAAACUGUGAUGCACUGUGUAUUCUGACACCUUUCUAUAAGAAUCAGCAUUAACUUCUUGAGCAAUUUGAACUACAGUAGCUUGCUUGUUGGAUCGGACCAACCCUUGUCAAACUCGCUCAAAUCCUUACACUUGUCCAUUUUUCCUGCUUCUAACACAUCAACUUUGAGGACAAAAUGUUCACUUGCUGCCUAAUAUA
Long non-coding RNA from Megalobrama amblycephala (Wuchang bream), 11558 nucleotides. RefSeq lists it as uncharacterized. Lineage: Eukaryota; Metazoa; Chordata; Actinopteri; Cypriniformes; Xenocyprididae. The record is from RefSeq and is a predicted model, not a curated record. The transcript is spliced from 4 exons.